GCCAUCAUCGUCUACCAGUUCAGGACACCUCUCUUUCAAGGAGGCAAUAGGGAUUCAACUUCCCUUAGGGGUA
Gossypium raimondii (Peruvian cotton) is the source of this 73-nucleotide transfer RNA. It matches the Rfam family "tRNA". From Rfam's summary of the family: Transfer RNA (tRNA) molecules are approximately 80 nucleotides in length. Their secondary structure includes four short double-helical elements and three loops (D, anti-codon, and T loops). Lineage: Eukaryota; Viridiplantae; Streptophyta; Magnoliopsida; Malvales; Malvaceae. The record is from Rfam.